UACAAUAAAUAAUUGGAUAAGUGUUAUUCAUGUUUAUGAUAAAACGUAAAAAAUAUAUUUAAGAACAUCAGAAGGUAUUAUAAAUUAUAACUUUUGUUGAAGAACUUAAUAAUAGAGGUUUAACUUUAAAGCCUUUAUUUUACGUACGUUCUAGAGUCUAGAAUACUACUACUAGUACCUACUGAAGACGUCCACUGCUGGAUAAAAGCCUCCCCCUAUCAAUCACAUGUAAAUUGUAGUGUAAUACUAAUCUCUGAAAUGGCUGGACCCAUUUUGACGGGACUUUUAUUGGCAGGUAGCUGAUGCAAUAAGGAGUAACUUAGGCUACGUUUAUUUUAGAAAAGACUUUUAUUUCAGAAAAGUAAAGUAUUGUUGCAACAUCCAAGAAAC
Leptidea sinapis is the source of this 390-nucleotide long non-coding RNA. RefSeq lists it as uncharacterized. Lineage: Eukaryota; Metazoa; Arthropoda; Insecta; Lepidoptera; Pieridae. The record is from RefSeq and is a predicted model, not a curated record. The transcript has 3 exons.